RNAcentral lists this ribosomal RNA (457 nucleotides) under uncultured prokaryote. RNAcentral's name for it is "partial 16S ribosomal RNA". The record is from RNAcentral.
CCCUAUGGGGUGCACCAGGCGCUGAUGAAUUAGGUUUUUUCCCGGCAGAGACGGGUGCCAUUCAGGCCGCGGAAUACGGUUUCCGCGGCCUGAAUGCGUUGGUAAGGCACGGUUUCCAAUGGCCGUUCAGAAGAGAUAUAUUUGGUUUCAGAAGGUCAUUUCUGCUGUUCAUUGAUGAAUUUAUUGAGUAUUUAAAGUUUUUGCUAUGAUCUUUGACUGACCAUUAAAUUUAUUAAAGUCACUAAAAAAGAUAGGGUCUGUUAUGCCCCGGCGCCGGAACCGGUGGAGCACGGAGACAAGCUGGAAAUCAUGGAAAUGAAGGAUGACUCCCUUACGCCGCUGUUGGGGAGGCCCGCCGGAUUUUCCCUGUCCAGAAACCCCAUGGUGUUCGUCAAAAUGAACGACGGGUUCCAGCGCAUCCUGAUGAAGCAUAUCCUGUAUGUGGAGGCGGGAGGGC